Molecule: long non-coding RNA, 1886 nt
Organism: Camelus dromedarius (Arabian camel)
Lineage: Eukaryota; Metazoa; Chordata; Mammalia; Artiodactyla; Camelidae
Exons: 4
Source: RefSeq, a predicted model, not a curated record
AGGACUGUUCUUCUAAAAGAUUUCAUGGAAUACUGGAUGAAUGGCAUUCAGGAGGUUAUCUGUCUUUUGAAAUUGGGCCAGGUACAAAUACUGCCCAAGAUGCCUGACGCUGCAGGGAGGAAGGAGAGAUGCGGAAAAUCUGUUUAUUUGGCACCUUCACCCUGUGGCAAUAUUGGAGUCUCAGAGGCUGAGCUGCUUGUUCUGCAAUUUAAAAAGGGCGGGAGACUUUGUACAACUUUUCCCGAGUGAAUACAACAAUUCUAAGCAGCUGAUAACUGCCAGAUAAACAACCUGAUCUUUUGAUUUGUUCUGUUUUAUUUGCUUGUUUGUUAUUUUCUCUUAAAACUGGAAACAGCUGGUGACCAAGGAAGGGUCUCAGGCUUCCAACUGCAAAACUGUGCUGGACACACGGACUCGGGUCUUGGGUCUGGCCUGAAUUCCAGGGCAGCGGGGAGGUGUCUGCAUGGAAGGACUUGCUCCACCGUCUCCUUCCGUGCUGUGAAAGGUCCUGCCAAGACAGGAACCUGCCCCACGAGCAGCAGAUACGCAUCCUUCCUUCCUGCUCCCCUCUUCACCCGACCAGUCUAACCGCCACCACAGAAGGUUGAUCGCAAGUUGGAUCCUUAUGUGCACAACUCGACUGCAUCCAGUUUUACAAAGACAUGAAGACACGUCUUAAGUUUGGAGCGGGGAAGAAAUAUUCUAGAGCCUGGCAAUCUGCUUCAGACUGUGCUCCUGAAUUAGUCAUGGAGAUGCAGAAAAUGCAGUGCUCCCUUACUGGCACAGCGGUCCCCUCGCUUUCUGCCAGUGUUUACCUCGGCAGCUGGGCUGCUUAAGUCUCCAGGAGUCCCUAGGUCCUUGGACUACAGCAAGGCGGCUGGGAGGGAGGCUGCUUUCUCACCUGGUAUGAUUUUCCUCUGCCGAUAAUUGAGAUGGACUCUGAUGCGGAGGAAAGUGUAAAAAACGGUUGUGGAUGCUUCCUCUGUUUUCAGCUUUCAUUUGUGUCUGCAUUAAUCAACUGCCCGAGGCUUUAGUCACCACUUGCGGGAGUCUCGCAAAAUACGUGGGAUUUAGAAAUCAAACAACAAGAUAAUCACCCAGAAAUCAGAUUUAAAUCUGCAGUGACUGAAGUUGCUUUGUCAGAGAAAUAAAAGUGCUUUGCCUCGUUCCUGAGCCCCCGAUGAAGCCAAGAUUCCACGAUGGACAAAACUUUCAAGGACAGAGUAAAUGGAGACAGCAGAAGGGAGUGAGCAGAGCACCGCGGAGAAAGUGGUACCUACAGCCUCGAUUCUACAUGGCUUCUCAAACCCCACGGUCAGCAGGAACGCGGUAGAUCUCUGUCUCUCCAUUUCUUACUCUCAAGCCUGGCUUGUCUCAGGUGUCUGAGCCUCAUGCAGUCGGCUGUUAGCAGGAGUGGGGCGCUGACAGGGUCCCACGCUCUAAUGCUUACUUGGCUGGGGUCGAGGAGCACGGAUUCUCAGGGAAAGGCCAUGAGGAGGGCUGGCCCCUUGACUAGAAUGUCCGUCCACCUCGGGCCAAUUAUUUAGUGACACCAAAAGCCAUAGGGACUUUCUGUUUCUGGAGAUGUGGCGUAUCAAUGUUACAGAGAAACCGCUCCUAACCCAGGGCACAUCAAACUGCAGGGUAAAUUAUAACACAACAACAACAUCUUUUUAGUUCAUGGCUGAACAGGCAGUAAAGUCAGGGAAACCACUGAGGCCUGAAAUAAAGAAACAUCUCCUCUAUGAAUGGAGGGGGAAAGGGAGAUGAAUCUAGGGAUGGAGAGAGAGCAUUGGCAUUGAUGAUAUUUUAUUAUAUAUACUUGGUGGUGAGUUUAAGAGCAUUCAUUUUAUUAUUAUUAUUUAAACUGAGUUAAAUAUGUAUGU